This 460-nucleotide ribosomal RNA is filed under the name uncultured bacterium. RNAcentral's name for it is "partial 16S ribosomal RNA". It matches the Rfam family "Bacterial small subunit ribosomal RNA", at positions 338 to 795 of the family's 1533-position model. The record is from RNAcentral.
CCUACGGGAGGCAGCAGUGAGGAAUAUUGGUCAAUGGACGCAAGUCUGAACCAGCCAUGCAGCGUGCAGGAUGACGGCCCUAUGGGUUGUAAACUGCUUUUAUGCGGGGAUAAACUGCGUUACGUGUGUCGUUUUGAAGGUAUCGCAUGAAUAAGGACCGGCUAAUUCCGUGCCAGCAGCCGCGGUAAUACGGAGGAUCCGGGCGUUAUCCGGAUUUAUUGGGUUUAAAGGGUGCGUAGGCAGCUUGAUAAGCGAGAGGUGAAAUGCCGUGGCUCAACCCCGAAACUGCGUCGCGUACUGGUGGGCUAGAGAAUAGGGGAGGUAGGCGGAAUGCAUGGUGUAGCGGUGAAAUGCUUAGAGAUCAUACAGAACACCGAUUGCGAAGGCAGCUUACGACAGUGUAUCUGACGUUGAGGCUCGAAGGCGCGGGUAGCAAACAGGAUUAGAUACCCUGGUAGUC